This 794-nucleotide ribosomal RNA is filed under the name uncultured bacterium. Its description in RNAcentral is "bacterial SSU rRNA". It matches the Rfam family "Bacterial small subunit ribosomal RNA", at positions 591 to 1386 of the family's 1533-position model. The record is from RNAcentral.
GAAGUUAAAGGCUGUGGNUCAACCAUAGUUCGCUUUGGAAACUGUCAAACUUGAGUGCAGAAGGGGAGAGUGGAAUUCCAUGUGUAGCGGUGAAAUGCGUAGAUAUAUGGAGGAACNCCGGUGGCGAAAGCGGCUCUCUGNUCUGUAACUGACGCUGAGGCUCGAAAGCGUGGGGAGCGAACAGGAUUAGAUACCCUGGUAGUCUACGCCGUAAACGAUGAGUGCUAGGUGUUGGAUCCUUUCCGGGAUUCAGUGCCGCAGCUAACGCAUUAAGCACUCCGCCUGGGGAGUACGACCGCAAGGUUGAAACUCAAAGGAAUUGACGGGGGCCCGCACAAGCGGUGGAGCAUGUGGUUUAAUUCGAAGCAACGCGAAGANCCUUACCAGGUCUUGACAUCCCGAUGCUAUUUCUAGAGAUAGGAAGUUACUUCGGUACAUCGGUGACAGGUGGUGCAUGGUUGUCGUCAGCUCGUGUCGUGAGAUGUUGGGUUAAGUCNNGCAACGAGCGCAACCCCUAUUGUUAGUUGCCAUCAUUCAGUUGGGCACUCUAGCGAGACUGCCGGUAAUAAACCGGAGGAAGGUGGGGAUGACGUCAAAUCAUCAUGCCCCUUAUGACCUGGGCUACACACGUGCUACAAUGGUUGGUACAACGAGUUGCGAGUCGGUGACGGCGAGCUAAUCUCUUAAAGCCAAUCUCAGUUCGGAUUGUAGGCUGCAACUCGCCUACAUGAAGUCGGAAUCGCUAGUAAUCGCGGAUCAGCACGCCGCGGUGAAUACGUUCCCGGGCCUUGUNC